AGAGAGAGACUGAAGGACAGGGGUGUGGAGGUAAAGAGAGAGAGACUGAAGGACAGGGGUGUGGAGGUAAAGAGAGAGAGACUGAAGGACAGAGGUGUGGAGGUAAAGAGAGAGAGACUGAAGGACAGGGGUGUGGAGGUAAAGAGAGAGAGACUGAAGGAUAGGGGUGCGGAGGGAAAGAGAGAGACUGAAGGACAGGGGUGUGGAGGGAAAGAGAGAGAGACUGAAGGACAGGGGUGUGGAGGCAAGCUCGACUAGCUCUCUACGUCUGCUGAUUUAUUAAUGACGAUGAACAUCUCUGUC
This is a long non-coding RNA of Oncorhynchus tshawytscha (Chinook salmon), 303 nucleotides long. The record is from Ensembl. NCBI's taxonomy places the organism in Eukaryota, Metazoa, Chordata, Actinopteri, Salmoniformes, Salmonidae.